AAUCAUGGUAGUAAUCAUGAAAAGAAAAGGUUUUGCAAUGAUCUUAAUGAUUAUGUUAGUUGUAACACAAGUGGAAUGCAUAACUCCAUCUCAAGAAUUUGUGUCAAUUAAACAGAAAGGAUUCUGUGAAAGAAUAUACGAGAUUGUGUGAAAGAGAACUGCGAGGCUCCGGUGGAAACAAACAUUGUUAUGACCCUUACAUAAGCAAUGAAACAUGAAUUUGGAUUCCCUGCAGUACCUGAAAAAAGUCUUGCAGACGCCACAGAUUAUGUUUUAUUUUUUGAAAGGAUUCAUUAUAUGAUAGUGUAAAUAAGUUUAAUAAGAUUUGUGCAAUGUUGUGAUUACUUUGCACCAUGAAAACUGCAAUGCAACAUUUGUGAAAGCCAAAAUCGCAAAAUGCUUAACACGACCUGGACUGUUAUUUAAAACCUUGGUGACAAUAACAAUAAUGUUGUAAGUUUUGAGUCAAUUUCAACAACAGGGGCAAAUCCAUCAACAGUAAAAUCUUUGGUAACACUUCACAAAACUGCUUUUAAAUUUG
Long non-coding RNA from Medicago truncatula (barrel medic), 541 nucleotides. RefSeq lists it as uncharacterized. The record is from RefSeq and is a predicted model, not a curated record. The transcript has 3 exons. NCBI's taxonomy places the organism in Eukaryota, Viridiplantae, Streptophyta, Magnoliopsida, Fabales, Fabaceae.